GCGGACGGGUGAGUAAUGCUUGGGAACAUGCCUUGAGGUGGGGGACAACAGUUGGAAACGACUGCUAAUACCGCAUAAUGUCUACGGACCAAAGGGGGCUUCGGCUCUCGCCUUUAGAUUGGCCCAAGUGGGAUUAGCUAGUUGGUGAGGUAAUGGCUCACCAAGGCGACGAUCCCUAGCUGGUUUGAGAGGAUGAUCAGCCACACUGGGACUGAGACACGGCCCAGACUCCUACGGGAGGCAGCAGUGGGGAAUAUUGCACAAUGGGCGCAAGCCUGAUGCAGCCMUGCCGCGUGUGUGAAGAAGGCCUUCGGGUUGUAAAGCACUUUCAGUCAGGAGGAAAGGUUAGUAGUUAAUACCUGCUAGCUGUGACGUUACUGACAGAAGAAGCACCGGCUAACUCCGUGCCAGCAGCCGCGGUAAUACGGAGGGUGCGAGCGUUAAUCGGAAUUACUGGGCGUAAAGCGUACGCAGGCGGUUUGUUAAGCGAGAUGUGAAAGCCCUGGGCUCAACCUGGGAACUGCAUUUCGAACUGGCAAACUAGAGUGUGAUAGAGGGUGGUAGAAUUUCAGGUGUAGCGGUGAAAUGCGUAGAGAUCUGAAGGAAUACCGAUGGCGAAGGCAGCCACCUGGGUCAACACUGACGCUCAUGUACGAAAGCGUGGGGAGCAAACGGGAUUAGAUACCCCGGUAGUCCACGCCGUAAACGAUGUCUACUACAAGCUCGGGUCCUCKGCACUUGUUUUUCAAAGCUAACGCAUUAAGUAGACCGCCUGGGGAGUACGGCCGCAAGGUUAAAACUCAAAUGAAUUGACGGGGGCCCGCACAAGCGGUGGAGCAUGUGGUUUAACUUCGAUGCARCGCGAAGAACCUUACCUACACUUGACAUACAGAGAACUUACCACCAGAUGGUUUGGUGCCUUCKGGAACUCUGAURCAGGUGCUGCRUGRCUGUCGUCAGCUCGUGUUGUGAGAUGUUGGGUUAAGUCCCGCAWCRAGCGCARCCCCUAUCCUUA
Molecule: ribosomal RNA, 1015 nt
Filed under: Pseudoalteromonas sp. C-2-23
Lineage: Bacteria; Pseudomonadati; Pseudomonadota; Gammaproteobacteria; Alteromonadales; Pseudoalteromonadaceae
Description: bacterial SSU rRNA
Rfam family: Bacterial small subunit ribosomal RNA
Source: RNAcentral